RNAcentral lists this non-coding RNA (24 nucleotides) under Arabidopsis thaliana (thale cress). The record is from RNAcentral. Lineage: Eukaryota; Viridiplantae; Streptophyta; Magnoliopsida; Brassicales; Brassicaceae.
ACGAACUGGAUCAAUGCCGAAGAA